RNAcentral lists this long non-coding RNA (486 nucleotides) under Oryza brachyantha (malo sina). RNAcentral's name for it is "long non-coding RNA (OBRA_LNC002662)". Lineage: Eukaryota; Viridiplantae; Streptophyta; Magnoliopsida; Poales; Poaceae. The record is from RNAcentral.
AGUUCAAAAUUUUCCCCUUGCUUUCUCCCCAUAUUUUCUAGUUUACCCAUAAUCCGGAGUUAUAUCUGACGACGAUACUUAUGAAGAUGAGGCGAGUCCCUAUGCUCAAGAGUUGUCUGUUAGUUGUUGCCCACUUCUUAACUUUUAUUUCAUUUUUCUAUUGCGUUGCUUAAGACUUGUUAUUUUAUUUGUUUAAUAAGACGAUGAAAAUAUAUUAAUUUGUCCUAGUAUGUACCCGAGCUAAUUCUAGACCGAGAUUUAAUACAUGCUAUUGUUUAGAAAUUUAAUAAACUUUUAGACGUGACAAAAUAUAAAUUGAUCACUAUAACAUAUAUACAACAAAUAUAUCUCUGACUUAUUUUUUAUCAAAAUUUUGGUUUGCUCCAAAACCUCACAACAUUAUUGGCUAAUAGUUUGAUCAAAAACAUUAUUGACUAAUAGACCUAAGUUUCGAUAUCUAUAUUUUUAUCUAGAUAGCUUAAUCAC